Molecule: unclassified non-coding RNA, 230 nt
Filed under: uncultured Agaricomycetes
Lineage: Eukaryota; Fungi; Basidiomycota; Agaricomycetes
Description: sequence contains ITS2
Source: RNAcentral
AUAUGUCAACACAGGCAAGUUUGUCAUGACUUGCUCUGCUGUUUGGACGUUGAAGGCUUGCUGGCAUUGACGUGUUCUGUCAGCUCCUUUUAAAUUCAUUAGCAGGAACCUUGCAGGACUGGCUUCAGUUUGAUAAGAUUGAACUGUCGUUAGAAUCCGCUUUUGCUGUUCCAGCUUCUAAUUGUCUGGUAAAACUGGACUGUCUCGCUCUGAGACAUUUACAUUUGACA